This is a long non-coding RNA of Gymnodraco acuticeps, 410 nucleotides long. RefSeq lists it as uncharacterized. NCBI's taxonomy places the organism in Eukaryota, Metazoa, Chordata, Actinopteri, Perciformes, Bathydraconidae. The record is from RefSeq and is a predicted model, not a curated record. The transcript has 4 exons.
AAAAUGUGAAGGACGCUGUACAAAAAACAAACCAAGGAAAGGCAUCUGGUUCACAGAUGGUAACUGCCAUGGGCGAACAGCUCAAGAGAUCCCUACAGGCUGAGAGAACCUCCAAGCCCUCAGAAGAGGUGACAUCUGAAUCACCUCAACACUCUUCAGAUUCUGAUGUCACCUCGAUUGACCUGUUUGAGCCGAUCAAAAAGCAACCAUUUAGAUGCCAAGAUUGGUGGCUACCAUGAAGACAGCACUGGACAACAUUUCAGGGUCGUCCUCAUCAGGAUCUUGUUCCAGUAGUGGCCACGGUGACUCCCAGCAAACUGGCCGCAAUACUGGCAGUAAUGACUUGAUGUUCCUAGGCAACUCCUCCGUCCAGGUCUCCACACGCCUCUUCCACAGAUUAGGCAACAGAA